This 253-nucleotide unclassified non-coding RNA is filed under the name uncultured Alphaproteobacteria bacterium. RNAcentral describes it as "contains 16S-23S intergenic spacer region". It matches the Rfam family "Bacterial small subunit ribosomal RNA", at positions 524 to 776 of the family's 1533-position model. The record is from RNAcentral. Lineage: Bacteria; Pseudomonadati; Pseudomonadota; Alphaproteobacteria.
UACGAAGGGGGCUAGCGUUGUUCGGAAUUACUGGGCGUAAAGGGCGCGUAGGCGGCCCGUCAAGUCAGAUGUGAAAGCCCUGGGCUCAACCUGGGAACCGCAUUUGAGACUGGCGGGCUUGAGUUCCGGAGAGGUGGGUGGAAUUCCCAGUGUAGAGGUGAAAUUCGUAGAUAUUGGGAAGAACACCGGUGGCGAAGGCGGCCCACUGGACGGACACUGACGCUGAGGCGCGAAAGCGUGGGGAGCAAACAGG